This 253-nucleotide ribosomal RNA is filed under the name uncultured bacterium. RNAcentral describes it as "partial 16S ribosomal RNA". It matches the Rfam family "Bacterial small subunit ribosomal RNA", at positions 524 to 776 of the family's 1533-position model. The record is from RNAcentral.
UACGUAGGGUGCAAGCGUUGUCCGGAAUUAUUGGGCGUAAAGAGCUCGUAGGCGGUCUGUCGCGUCGAAUGUGAAAACCCGGGGCUCAACCCCGGGCCUGCAUUCGAUACGGGCAGACUAGAGUUCGGUAGGGGAGUCUGGAAUUCCUGGUGUAGCGGUGAAAUGCGCAGAUAUCAGGAGGAACACCGGUGGCGAAGGCGGGACUCUGGGCCGAUACUGACGCUGAGGUGCGAAAGCGUGGGGAGCAAACAGG